Molecule: small nucleolar RNA, 65 nt
Organism: Anguilla rostrata (American eel)
Lineage: Eukaryota; Metazoa; Chordata; Actinopteri; Anguilliformes; Anguillidae
Source: RefSeq, a predicted model, not a curated record
UCCCAAUGAUUAAAAUAUCUAGCUCACUUUGAACCAAUGUGAAAAGAGAUGAACAACUGAGCGAC